GUGAGACAGGUGCUGCAUGGCUGUCGUCAGCUCGUGUUGUGAAAUGUUGGGUUAAGUCCCGCAACGAGCGCAACCCUUAUCCUUUGUUGCCAGCGGUCCGGCCGGGAACUCAAAGGAGACUGCCAGUGAUAAACUGGAGGAAGGUGGGGAUGACGUCAAGUCAUCAUGGCCCUUACGACCAGGGCUACACACGUGCUACAAUGGCGCAUACAAAGAGAAGCGACCUCGCGAGAGCAAGCGGACCUCAUAAAGUGCGUCGUAGUCCGGAUUGGAGUCUGCAACUCGACUCCAUGAAGUCGGAAUCGCUAGUAAUCGUGGAUCAGAAUGCCACGGUGAAUACGUUCCCGGGCCUUGUACACACCGCCCGUCACACCAUGGGAGUGGGUUGCAAAAGAAGUAGGUAGCUUAACCUUCGGGAGGGCGCUUACCACUUUGUGAUUCAUGACUGGGGUGAAGUCGUAACAAGGUAACCGUAGGGGAACCUGCGGUUGGAUCACCUCCUUACCUUAAAGAAGC
Molecule: ribosomal RNA, 516 nt
Filed under: Escherichia coli
Lineage: Bacteria; Pseudomonadati; Pseudomonadota; Gammaproteobacteria; Enterobacterales; Enterobacteriaceae
Also listed under: 12 other names
Description: bacterial SSU rRNA
Rfam family: Bacterial small subunit ribosomal RNA
Source: RNAcentral